Molecule: unclassified non-coding RNA, 200 nt
Filed under: soil metagenome
Description: partial contains internal transcribed spacer 2 and large subunit ribosomal RNA
Source: RNAcentral
GAGCGUCAUUAUACCUCUCAAGCUCUGCUUGGUGUUGAGGCGUGCCCGUCCGGGCACCCUCUAAAGACAGUGGCAGCGUCACUCGAGCCUCAAGCGUAGUACAUCUCUCGCUAUGGAGCCCGGGGGACGAUCGCCAGAAACGAAGCCUAUGGCUUCUCCAGGUUGACCUCGGAUCAGGUAGGGAUACCCGCUGAACUUAA